UGCCAGCCGCCGCGGUAACACGGGGGGCGCAAGCGUUAUUCGGAAUUAUGGGCGUAAAGGGCGCGCAGGCGGUCUUGUAAGUUGGGGGUGAAUUCCCGGAGCUCAACUCCGGAACUGCCUCCAAAACUACAAAGCUAGAGGAUGUGAGAGGAUAGUGGAAUUCCGAGUGUAGAGGUGAAAUUCGUAGAUAUUCGGAAGAACACCAGUGGCGAAGGCGACUGUCUGGCACAUUUCUGACGCUGAGGUGCGAAAGCGUGGGGAGCAAACAGGAUUAGAUA
Molecule: ribosomal RNA, 278 nt
Filed under: uncultured bacterium
Lineage: Bacteria
Description: partial 16S ribosomal RNA
Rfam family: Bacterial small subunit ribosomal RNA
Source: RNAcentral